Molecule: microRNA precursor, 60 nt
Organism: Salmo trutta (river trout)
Lineage: Eukaryota; Metazoa; Chordata; Actinopteri; Salmoniformes; Salmonidae
Gene: dre-mir-20a
Product: microRNA 20a
Source: Ensembl
UAAAGUGCUUAUAGUGCAGGUAGUUUUAUGGAUACCUACUGCAGUGUGAGCACUUGAAGU